RNAcentral lists this ribosomal RNA (652 nucleotides) under uncultured bacterium. RNAcentral's name for it is "bacterial SSU rRNA". It matches the Rfam family "Bacterial small subunit ribosomal RNA", at positions 83 to 721 of the family's 1533-position model. The record is from RNAcentral.
UCCCGAAGGUUAGCGGCGGACGGGUGAGUAACACAUGGGCAACCUGCCUAUAAGACUGGGAUAACUUCGGGAAACCGGAGCUAAUACCGGAUAAUUCUUUUCUACACAUGUAGAAAAGCUAAAAGACGGUUUACGCUGUCACUUAUAGAUGGGCCCGCGGCGCAUUAGCUAGUUGGUGAGGUAACGGCUCACCAAGGCCACGAUGCGUAGCCGACCUGAGAGGGUGAUCGGCCACACUGGGACUGAGACACGGCCCAGACUCCUACGGGAGGCAGCAGUAGGGAAUCUUCCGCAAUGGACGAAAGUCUGACGGAGCAACGCCGCGUGAGUGAUGAAGGUUUUCGGAUCGUAAAACUCUGUUGUUAGGGAAGAACAAGUACGAGAGUAACUGCUCGUACCUUGACGGUACCUAACCAGAAAGCCACGGCUAACUACGUGCCAGCAGCCGCGGUAAUACGUAGGUGGCAAGCGUUGUCCGGAAUUAUUGGGCGUAAAGCGCGCGCAGGCGGUCCUUUAAGUCUGAUGUGAAAGCCCACGGCUCAACCGUGGAGGGUCAUUGGAAACUGGGGGACUUGAGUACAGGAGAGAAGAGUGGAAUUCCACGUGUAGCGGUGAAAUGCGUAGAGAUGUGGAGGAACACCAGUGGCGAAGG